Molecule: ribosomal RNA, 443 nt
Filed under: uncultured bacterium
Lineage: Bacteria
Description: bacterial SSU rRNA
Rfam family: Bacterial small subunit ribosomal RNA
Source: RNAcentral
AGAGUUUGAUCCUGGCUCAGAUUGAACGCUGGCGGCAUGCCUUACACAUGCAAGUCGAACGGUAACAGGCCGCAAGGUGCUGACGAGUGGCGAACGGGUGAGUAAUGCAUCGGAACGUGCCCAGUAGUGGGGGAUAGCCCGGCGAAAGCCGGAUUAAUACCGCAUACGACCUGAGGGUGAAAGGGGGGGAUCGCAAGACCUCUCGCUAUUGGAGCGGCCGAUGUCAGAUUAGCUAGUUGGUGGGGUAAAGGCCUACCAAGGCAACGAUCUGUAGUUGGUCUGAGAGGACGACCAGCCACACUGGGACUGAGACACGGCCCAGACUCCUACGGGAGGCAGCAGUGGGGAAUUUUGGACAAUGGGCGCAAGCCUGAUCCAGCAAUGCCGCGUGCAGGAAGAAGGCCUUCGGGUUGGGAACUGCUUUUGUCAGGGAAGAAAUCUUC